GUGAGCCGGUGGGCGGCUUCCGAGCCCGAAAGGGCUUGAGGAAACUCCACCCACCAGGAAGGCCUGCGACGCCGCGAGGCGUAGGGCGAGAGCCCUGGCAACGGACAGAAACGAGACCUCCGCCCGCAUGCGAUGACUCGCCUGAAGCGUCGAGGGCGCGGGCGGAUCGGUUGAGACGACCGCCCCUGCAGGGUGAAAGGGCAAAUAGCGUCGAUGAGCGCCUUCCCGAGACGCGGGUAGCCCCCUCAGCCGAAUGCCGCCUAAAACAGAAGGUGGGUUACGGCCGGCACAC
This 292-nucleotide RNase P RNA is filed under the name Candidatus Bathyarchaeota archaeon. RNAcentral's name for it is "RNase P RNA component". It matches the Rfam family "Archaeal RNase P". From Rfam's summary of the family: Ribonuclease P (RNase P) is a ubiquitous endoribonuclease, found in archaea, bacteria and eukarya as well as chloroplasts and mitochondria. The record is from RNAcentral. Lineage: Archaea; Thermoproteati; Candidatus Bathyarchaeota.